Molecule: ribosomal RNA, 252 nt
Filed under: uncultured bacterium
Lineage: Bacteria
Description: partial 16S ribosomal RNA
Rfam family: Bacterial small subunit ribosomal RNA
Source: RNAcentral
UACGGGGGAGCAAGCGUUGUUCGGAUUUACUGGGCGUAAAGGGCGGGUAGGCGGCCACCGCAAGUCAGUUGUGAAAUCUCCGGGCUUAACCCGGAAAGGUCAACUGAUACUGCGGGGCUAGAGUGCAGAAGGGGCAACUGGAAUUCUCGGUGUAGCGGUGAAAUGCGUAGAUAUCGAGAGGAACACCUGCGGCGGAGGCGGGUUGCUGGGCUGAUACUGACGCUGAGGUGCGAAAGCCAGGGAGCGAACGGG